This 292-nucleotide ribosomal RNA is filed under the name uncultured bacterium. RNAcentral's name for it is "partial 16S ribosomal RNA". It matches the Rfam family "Bacterial small subunit ribosomal RNA", at positions 505 to 796 of the family's 1533-position model. The record is from RNAcentral.
GUGUCAGCCGCCGCGGUAAUACGGGGGGGGCAAGCGUUGUUCGGAAUUACUGGGCGUAAAGGGCUCGUAGGCGGCCAACUAAGUCAGACGUGAAAUCCCUCGGCUUAACCGGGGAACUGCGUCUGAUACUGGAUGGCUUGAGUUCGGGAGAGGGAUGCGGAAUUCCAGGUGUAGCGGUGAAAUGCGUAGAUAUCUGGAGGAACACCGGUGGCGAAGGCGGCAUCCUGGACCGACACUGACGCUGAGGAGCGAAAGCCAGGGGAGCAAACGGGAUUAGAUACCCGAGUAGUCC